CUGAGGCAGUCAGUCCCAGUCAGCACCCAGCAUGGACAUGAGGACCCCUGCGCAGCUCCUGGGGCUCCUGCUGCUCUGGAUCCCAGGUGCCAGAUGUGACAUCCAGAUGACCCAGUCUCCAGCCUCCCUACCUGCAUCUCCAGGAGGCACAGUCUCCAUCACUUGCCGGGCCAGUCAGAGUAUCUAUGGUUAUUUAGCCUGGUAUCAGCAGAAACCAGGGAAAGCUCCAAGGCUCCUGAUCUACGGUGCAACCAGUUUGCAACCGGGGAUUCCAUCCAGGUUCAGUGGCAGUGGAUCUGGGACAGAGUACACUCUCACCAUCAGCAGCCUGCAGCCUGAAGAUGUUGCCACUUAUUACUGUCUACAGUAUAGCAAUUGGCCUCCCACAGUGAUACAAGUCAUAACAAAAACCUCCAUGGAAGCAGAAGUGAGAGGCUGGGCUGCCCCAGCUGCUCCUCCUGGGGCCUCCACCUCCUGACAGAGCUUCUCAGAUG
This is a non-coding RNA of Perognathus longimembris pacificus (Pacific pocket mouse), 494 nucleotides long. Lineage: Eukaryota; Metazoa; Chordata; Mammalia; Rodentia; Heteromyidae. The record is from the annotation of a RefSeq genome assembly.